RNAcentral lists this ribosomal RNA (253 nucleotides) under uncultured bacterium. RNAcentral describes it as "partial 16S ribosomal RNA". It matches the Rfam family "Bacterial small subunit ribosomal RNA", at positions 524 to 776 of the family's 1533-position model. The record is from RNAcentral.
UACGGAGGAUCCGAGCGUUAUCCGGAUUUAUUGGGUUUAAAGGGUGCGUAGGCGGUUUGAUAAGUUAGAGGUGAAAUGUCGGGGCUCAACCCCGAAACUGCCUCUAAUACUGUUGGACUAGAGAAUAGUCGCGGUAGGCGGAAUGUAUGGUGUAGCGGUGAAAUGCUUAGAGAUCAUACAGAACACCGAUUGCGAAGGCAGCUUACCAAACCAUAUCUGACGUUGAGGCACGAAAGCGUGGGUAGCAAACAGG